RNAcentral lists this ribosomal RNA (292 nucleotides) under uncultured bacterium. RNAcentral describes it as "partial 16S ribosomal RNA". It matches the Rfam family "Bacterial small subunit ribosomal RNA", at positions 505 to 796 of the family's 1533-position model. The record is from RNAcentral.
GUGUCAGCAGCCGCGGUAAUACAGAGGGUGCCAGCGUUGUUCGGAAUUAUUGGGCGUAAAGGGCGCGUAGGCGGCGCCGUAUGUCGGGUGUGAAAUCCCACCUCUUAAAGGUGGAAUUGCAUUCGAAACUACGGCGCUGGAGUAUCGGAGAGGAUGGUGGAAUUCCUGGUGUAGAGGUGAAAUUCGUAGAUAUCAGGAGGAACACCGGUGGCGAAGGCGGCCAUCUGGACGAAUACUGACGCUGAGGCGCGAAAGCGUGGGGAUCAAACAGGAUUAGAUACCCCUGUAGUCC